AUAAUGAUACUCCUCUAUAGCUACAGCCCGAGCGUGCAGCCGUAAUUCAGGCGGUGAGGCGUCGCAGGCAAUAGGUAGGGUCGCGCGAGAACCGCGUGAGGGUGAAAUUCCCGUG
Molecule: non-coding RNA, 115 nt
Filed under: chicken gut metagenome
Description: pemK RNA
Rfam family: pemK RNA
Source: RNAcentral